GUUAACAUUGAUUCACUUAGGAAUUAUAAUAAGCAUUUAUAUCAACCAAAACAUGUGUUAAAAAUAAUAUCAAAUGUUAAAAAUGAAUCACAAAAUUAUAUAGAAAAAAUGUGUGAUGAAACUGAUGAUACGAUAAAUAGAAAGCGUGAAAUUAAAAACGCUCUUGUGGAUAAAUCACAAGUGCACGGCAUUACAGGACAGGAACCUGUAGCUAGUGAGGUAGAACUCCUAAGAGCGGAGAAAAUACGUUAUAUUUUGAAACAAGAUGUGAUGCUAGAUCUUUUUACAGAAUAAGCCAAUCACGAAUGAACAUGGCCAUGAUACAAAUUGUGCAAUUUUACGUAAAUACUUCGUGAAUAAAAUUAUAUGUACCUAUUUUACGUUCAAUACUAUUAAACAUUUUAUAGCUA
Long non-coding RNA from Cydia pomonella (codling moth), 410 nucleotides. RefSeq lists it as uncharacterized. Lineage: Eukaryota; Metazoa; Arthropoda; Insecta; Lepidoptera; Tortricidae. The transcript has 2 exons. The record is from RefSeq and is a predicted model, not a curated record.